This 85-nucleotide transfer RNA is filed under the name Felis catus (domestic cat). It matches the Rfam family "tRNA". From Rfam's summary of the family: Transfer RNA (tRNA) molecules are approximately 80 nucleotides in length. Their secondary structure includes four short double-helical elements and three loops (D, anti-codon, and T loops). RNAcentral also lists the same sequence under 2 other names. Lineage: Eukaryota; Metazoa; Chordata; Mammalia; Carnivora; Felidae. The record is from Rfam by way of RNAcentral.
ACCUGGUUGGCUCAGUUGGUUGAGCAUCCGACUUCGGCUCAGGUCAUGAUCUUACAUUUUGUGGGUUCGAGCCCUACAUCAGGCU